RNAcentral lists this ribosomal RNA (639 nucleotides) under uncultured bacterium. RNAcentral describes it as "bacterial SSU rRNA". It matches the Rfam family "Bacterial small subunit ribosomal RNA", at positions 232 to 885 of the family's 1533-position model. The record is from RNAcentral.
CGCGGCCUAUCAGCUUGUUGGUGAGGUAAAGGCUCACCAAGGCAUUGACGGGUAGCUGGUCUGAGAGGACGAUCAGCCACACUGGGACUGAGACACGGCCCAGACUCCUGCGGGAGGCAGCAGUGGGGAAUCUUGCGCAAUGGGCGAAAGCCUGACGCAGCAACGCCGCGUGGGGGAUGAAGGCUCUCGGGUUGUAAACCCCUUUCAGCAGGGACGAAAUUGACGGUACCUGUAGAAGAAGCCCCGGCCAACUACGUGCCAGCAGCCGCGGUAACACGUAGGGGGCGAGCGUUGUCCGGAGUUAUUGGGCGUAAAGGGCUCGUAGGCGGUUCGGUAAGUCAGAUGUGAAAGGUUGGGGCUCAACCCUAAGACUGCAUUUGAUACUGCCGUGACUAGAGUCCGGUAGAGGAGUGUGGAAUUCCUGGUGUAGCGGUGAAAUGCGCAGAUAUCAGGAGGAACACCGACGGCGAAGGCAGCACUCUGGGCCGGUACUGACGCUGAGGAGCGAAAGCGUGGGUAGCAAACAGGAUUAGAUACCCUGGUAGUCCACGCCGUAAACGUUGGGCACUAGGUGUGGGACCUUAUCAACGGGUUCCGUGCCGUAGCUAACGCAUUAAGUGCCCCGCCUGGGGAGUACGG